Molecule: ribosomal RNA, 490 nt
Filed under: uncultured bacterium
Lineage: Bacteria
Description: partial 16S ribosomal RNA
Rfam family: Bacterial small subunit ribosomal RNA
Source: RNAcentral
GAUGAACGCUAGCGAUAGGCUUAACACAUGCAAGUCGAGGGGCAGCAUGGUCUUAGCUUGCUAAGGCUGAUGGCGACCGGCGCACGGGUGCGUAACGCGUAUGCAACUUGCCUCACAGAGGGGGAUAACCCGUCGAAAGACGGACUAAUACCGCGUACACUCUAUGUUGGGCAUCCAAUGUAGAGGAAAUGAAAUUCGCUGUGAGAUAGGCAUGCGUCCCAUUAGCUAGUUGGUGAGGUAACGGCUCACCAAGGCGACGAUGGGUAGGGGAACUGAGAGGUUGAACCCCCACACUGGUACUGAGACACGGACCAGACUCCUACGGGAGGCAGCAGUGAGGAAUAUUGGUCAAUGGGCGAGAGCCUGAACCAGCCAAGUCGCGUGAAGGAUGACUGUCUUAUGGAUUGUAAACUUCCUUUAUACGGGAAUAACAAGAGUCACGUGUGGCUCCCUGCAUGUACCGUAUGAAUAAGCAUCGGCUAACUCCGUG